This 492-nucleotide ribosomal RNA is filed under the name uncultured bacterium. RNAcentral describes it as "partial 16S ribosomal RNA". It matches the Rfam family "Bacterial small subunit ribosomal RNA", at positions 29 to 506 of the family's 1533-position model. The record is from RNAcentral.
AGUGAACGCUGGCGGUAGGCCUAACACAUGCAAGUCGAACGGCAGCACAGUAAGAGCUUGCUCUUACGGGUGGCGAGUGGCGGACGGGUGAGGAAUACAUCGGAAUCUACUUUUUCGUGGGGGAUAACGUAGGGAAACUUACGCUAAUACCGCAUACGACCUACGGGUGAAAGCAGGGGAUCUUCGGACCUUGCGCGAUUGAAUGAGCCGAUGUCGGAUUAGCUAGUUGGCGGGGUAAAGGCCCACCAAGGCGACGAUCCGUAGCUGGUCUGAGAGGAUGAACCGGCACAACGGAAACGGGGCACGGGCCAAGCUCCUAAGGGAGGGAACAGGUGGGAAAUAUGGAAAAAGGGGGGAAGCCUUGUUCAAGCAAUACGGGUUGGUGAAAGAAGGCUUCCGGUUUGUAAAGCCUUUUGGUGGGGAAGAAAAGGCAGCAGUUAAAUACCCGGCUGUUUGGAGGGUACCAAAAGAUUAAGCACCGGUAAAUUCCUU